This 936-nucleotide long non-coding RNA is filed under the name Marmota monax (woodchuck). Lineage: Eukaryota; Metazoa; Chordata; Mammalia; Rodentia; Sciuridae. The record is from RNAcentral.
GACUUGGAAGUAGACUUCACUGAACUACCAUGCUCAUGGGGCUAUAAAUAACUUUUGAUUUUUGUGUGUUCAUACUCUGACUGGAUGGAAGCCUUUCCCACCAGCACUGAAAAGGCUAGGGAGAUAACCAGGAUGCUUCUCUGGGAAAUUAUUCCCAGAUUUGGUAUCCCAAUAAUUAUUGGCUCAGACAAUGGGCCAGCUUUUAGGCAGAAGUGAUACAGUUACUAACCAAGAGUUUAAAUAUCAGAUGGAAAUUACAUACUGCCUAUAGGCUACAGAGUUCUGAUAAAGUUGAAAGGAUGAACAGGACUUUAAGGCUCAAUUAGGUAAAGUGUGUCAGGGGACUUACAUUGUGAUGAACUUCUCCCUAUUACACUGUUGAGGAUUAGAUCCAUUCCCAUUAGGAGGACUGGACUCUCUCCUUAUGAGAUAAUGUAUGGGAGGCCCCCUCUCUUAUUAGGGGACUACAGGGAGACUUAAAAGAGAUAGGAGAAUUAACCCUGAGAUGACAGCUUCAGGCUCUCAACCAAUGGGUUAAAGAAAGAUUGCCAGUAAAUUUGACCACAGGUGCAUACUCCUUCAAGCCUGGAGAUAGAAUCUGGGUCAAAAAAUGGAAUAUUCAACCUCUGAACUUCUUUGGAAGGGCCAUUCACUAUUAUAUCCACCCCACUGCAGUACAUGUUGCAGAGAUAGGUCCCGGAUUCAUUACACUAGACUCAAGCUUGCAGCUGUGGACUGGGAGUACACUCCAGACAUUGCUAUGCCCUUGGGGAAAAAAAAGGAGCACUGGAGAAGCUUGAGGAUCAGGAGAACAACAGCCCUGCUCCAGUCAUUCCAGAAGCUGACUGGUCUAUGCACGGCUGAAGCUUGAGAGUACGGCCCUGUUUCAGCCACACUGGAGGGACUGGCUGAUCAAUGCAUGGUGAAAGAUAAACU